GUUAAAACGAUGAUAUUUAGUUGCUUCUCGAAUGAAUUAUGAUCUAAAUUAUUACAUUUUGUAUUGAAUAGGUAAAAUUCAAUGACGGUACAAGAAAUUGAAGGACGAAGCAAAAGUGGACAAAAUUGGAGAAAAUGACUAAGUUAUAAGAUAUCCAAAGUUUGGGGACUAAAGUGAAAAUACUCCAAAGUUGUGUUGGACCUCAUGAUGAAGAUUUAAGAGUGCUCAGAGUCAAUUGGAUGAAGAAAGAUGUCAAAGGGAUCAAAUUUAGGCAAAAUAUGAUUAUAAAUCAAUUUCCAACCGAAAAGUUAUGCUCUGAAAUUUCAGUCUUACAUUGAGACCCAUUUUUGAUAUAGCAAACAAUCGAACUGGAGAAUGAUGUCAAAAGAAAAUUUGUAGUCCUUUAAGUUAUCUUUUCAACGCAUCCUGAAUUGCCUCAAUUGGACAUCGGGAGAGAAAGUUAUGCUAAAAAUACUAGAAAAAGUGCGUGAUGUUUGUUCGAAAAGUGGCGCCACUUCAGAGCGCAGCGAUGUCGAGAGAUUCAGAGAGGUGGCGCCGCAAUAUGUAACCUAAGCGAAAUUUUGGCCCAUUUUGGAGUUCAUAUGAAAAUCCUAUUCUUCAUACACGGUAGGGGACCUAUAAACACGAAAAUUCUCACACUUUAAGGGGUUCUAUAGAUUGUAGAGGAAAAACACUUCUUGAAGUAAGGAGGAGAGAUUCAAAGGGAGGAGAAAACGCCAAAUUCAUCGUGUGAAGCAUAAACUGGAAGAAGGAAUUCUUGGUGCAAGAUCCACUUUUUCUUCUACAUAUUCUUAUUAAAAAUUCCGGUGAUGGACUAUAAGACAAUUUGUUGUUGCUCUUCUUUUAUUAUGCGUAACUAAAUCCAUUGUUAGGGCGAAUAAUGUAACCCAUUUGAGAUCCUUUAUGUUUUCUUAUUAAGAUUCUUGGUUUUUAAUUUUUCCAUGUGUUGAUUCUUGCUAUGAAUUGAUUGCAUUAAAUUAUCUUAUCA
RNAcentral lists this long non-coding RNA (1009 nucleotides) under Olea europaea subsp. europaea. Lineage: Eukaryota; Viridiplantae; Streptophyta; Magnoliopsida; Lamiales; Oleaceae. The record is from RNAcentral.